Molecule: long non-coding RNA, 218 nt
Organism: Canis lupus familiaris (dog)
Lineage: Eukaryota; Metazoa; Chordata; Mammalia; Carnivora; Canidae
Exons: 2
Source: RefSeq, a predicted model, not a curated record
AUCUCUUCAGGCAGGGAGAACAGGCCACCUCCCGGCAGAAGACAGCAUUCACUGCCCACUGCAGAUGAGGAAUCUGGAGCCCAGGGAAGUAGAAUGAAGAACCUACAGUCUUGGGCAGGGACACAUUUCUCCCUUAAGCCUCUUGGUUCCAAUCUCACCUCUGGCUUUGUGCAGCAGACUGACCUGCUUCAUGGCCCUACAUUCUGGUAUUAUUGCUG